UACAGAGGUCCCAAGCGUUGUUCGGAUUCACUGGGCGUAAAGGGUGCGUAGGUGGUGAGGUAAGUCGGAUGUGAAAUCUCCGGGCUCAACCCGGAAAUGGCAUUGGAAACUACCUUGCUGGAGGAUUUGAGGGGGAUUGGAAUACUUGGUGUAGCAGUGAAAUGCGUAGAUAUCAAGUGGAACACCAGUGGCGAAGGCGAAUCCCUGGAAAAUACCUGACACUGAGGCACGAAAGCUAGGGGAGCAAACAGG
This 252-nucleotide ribosomal RNA is filed under the name uncultured bacterium. RNAcentral's name for it is "partial 16S ribosomal RNA". It matches the Rfam family "Bacterial small subunit ribosomal RNA", at positions 524 to 776 of the family's 1533-position model. The record is from RNAcentral.